GAUGAACGCUAGCGGCAGGCUUAACACAUGCAAGUCGAGGGGUAUGGUUCUUCGGAACCAGAGACCGGCGCACGGGUGCGUAACGCGUAUGCAAUCUACCUUUUACAGAGGGAUAGCCCAGAGAAAUUUGGAUUAAUACCUCAUAGUAUAACAUGACCGCAUGGUCGAGUUAUUAAAGUCACAACGGUAAGAGAUGAGCA
Molecule: ribosomal RNA, 200 nt
Filed under: uncultured bacterium
Lineage: Bacteria
Description: partial 16S ribosomal RNA
Rfam family: Bacterial small subunit ribosomal RNA
Source: RNAcentral